RNAcentral lists this ribosomal RNA (440 nucleotides) under uncultured bacterium. RNAcentral describes it as "partial 16S ribosomal RNA". It matches the Rfam family "Bacterial small subunit ribosomal RNA", at positions 338 to 795 of the family's 1533-position model. The record is from RNAcentral.
CCUACGGGUGGCAGCAGUGGGGAAUAUUGCACAAUGGGGGGAACCCUGAUGCAGCGACGCCGCGUGAGGGAAGAAGUAUUUCGGUAUGGAAAGCUCGAUCAGCAGGGAAGAAAAUGACGGUACCUGACUAAGAAGCCCCGGAUAACUAAGUGCCAGCAGCCGCGGUAAUACGUAGGGUGCCAGCGUUAUCCGGAUUUACUGGGUGUAAAGGGAGCGUAGAAGGUUAUGCAAGUCUGAAGUGAAAGCCUAAGGCUCAACCAUGGGACUGCUUUUGAUACUGUAAACCUGGAGUGCAGUGGAGGUAAGCGGAAUUCCUAGUGUAGCGGUGAAAUGCGUAGAUAUUAGGAGGAACACCAGUGGCGAAGGCGGCUUACUGGACUGUAACUGACGUUGAUGCUCGAAGGCGUGGGGAUCAAACAGGAUUAGAUACCCUAGUAGUC